GACGAACGCUGGCGGCGUGCUUAACACAUGCAAGUCGAACGAAAAGAGGGAAAGAGCUUGCUCUUUCCGGAAUUGAGUGGCAAACGGGUGAGUAACACGUAAACAACCUGCCUUCAGGAUGGGGACAACAGACGGAAACGACUGCUAAUACCGAAUAAGUUCCAAGAGCCGCAUGGCCCAUGGAAGAAAAGGUGGCCUCUACCUGUAAGCUAUCGCCUGAAGAGGGGUUUGCGUCUGAUUAGCUGGUUGGAGGGGUAACGGGCCCGACCAAGGCGACGAUCAGUAGCCGGUCUGAGAGGAUGAACGGCCACACUGGAACUGAGACACGGUCCAGACUCCUACGGGAGGCAGCAGUGGGGAAUCUUCCGCAAUGGGCGAAAGCCUGACGGAGCAACGCCGCGUGAGUGAUGACGGCCUCGGUU
RNAcentral lists this ribosomal RNA (422 nucleotides) under uncultured bacterium. RNAcentral describes it as "bacterial SSU rRNA". It matches the Rfam family "Bacterial small subunit ribosomal RNA", at positions 28 to 424 of the family's 1533-position model. The record is from RNAcentral.